RNAcentral lists this ribosomal RNA (429 nucleotides) under Chloroflexota bacterium. RNAcentral's name for it is "Chloroflexi bacterium partial 16S ribosomal RNA". It matches the Rfam family "Bacterial small subunit ribosomal RNA", at positions 355 to 776 of the family's 1533-position model. Lineage: Bacteria; Bacillati; Chloroflexota. The record is from RNAcentral.
UGGGGAAUAUUGUACAAUGGGCGCAAGCCUGAUGCAGCCAUGCCGCGUGUAUGAAGAAGGCCUUCGGGUUGUAAAGUACUUUCAGCGGGGAGGAAGGGAGUAAAGUUAAUACCUUUGCUCAUUGACGUUACCCGCAGAAGAAGCACCGGCUAACUCCGUGCCAGCAGCCGCGGUAAUACGGAGGGUGCAAGCGUUAAUCGGAAUUACUGGGCGUAAAGCGCACGCAGGCGGUUGAUUGAGUCAGAUGUGAAAUCCCCGGGCUUAACCCGGGAAUUGCAUCUGAUACUGGUCAGCUAGAGUCUUGUAGAGGGGGGUAGAAUUCCAUGUGUAGCGGUGAAAUGCGUAGAGAUGUGGAGGAAUACCGGUGGCGAAGGCGGCCCCCUGGACAAAGACUGACGCUCAGGUGCGAAAGCGUGGGGAGCAAACAGG